Acanthosepion pharaonis is the source of this 86-nucleotide non-coding RNA. Lineage: Eukaryota; Metazoa; Mollusca; Cephalopoda; Sepiida; Sepiidae. The record is from the annotation of a GenBank genome assembly.
UUCUCGUACGAUUACCGAAGUUAAGCAAAGUCGAGCCUGGUCAGUACCUAGAUGGGUGACCGCUUGAGAAUACCAGAUGCUGUAAG